UGUGAAACCAACUUCAAACCAUUUCAAUUCAUUUCACAUCAUUCUAAACCAUUACAUUUGAUUCUACACAAGAAAAUACAAGUCUUGACAAUUUUUGACCAAUUGUUGACUUUGGUCAACAGUUGACUUUUUGGUCAACAUUGACCAAAGUCACCCAAAAUCCAAAAACUCUAAAUUUUCACCACAAUCAUCAAUCAUUUGUCCAUUUACAAGAAGAAUGCAAAAAAAAUGAAUUUUAACCAUUUGUUGACUUUGGUCAACAGUUGACUUUUUGGUCAACUUUGACCAAAGUCAACCCCAUGCCAUUGGUCAUCCCUAAUCACUAAAUGACUAGUCCUAACUCUCAUGACAUUAUCCAUGUCCCUGUUAUCUUUGGUUUAACCACUUGUGCUUGGCUUCUUCACUUUAAUGUCAACAUGGUCACACCUUGAAGCUUUGGAAUCCUGCUUUGCCAAUUAACUUCCAUCAUGCUGCAUUUGCCCUGCUAUACCAACCUGCUGCAACGCCUAACCUGCACAGACCAAAGUCAUGACCAACAUAAAAUCC
RNAcentral lists this long non-coding RNA (546 nucleotides) under Lathyrus oleraceus (garden pea). Its description in RNAcentral is "Pisum sativum (pea) long non-coding RNA (PSAT_LNC020818)". The record is from RNAcentral. Lineage: Eukaryota; Viridiplantae; Streptophyta; Magnoliopsida; Fabales; Fabaceae.